AUUCAAAAGUUCCAAAAACUAUUUCUAAUCUAUAAUUAUUACUUAUAUGAUUCUAAUGUCAUAAAUCGAUAUGGAUCACCAUAAAAAUAUAUUUAAAUCAUACCUGAGCACCGUGAUUCAACCUGUGAGAUGUUUUUAAGUUCUUCUCGAAAUCUCGAAUUCUUCGACCGUUGACAACACGAACUAAACCCUUCAAGACUCCGACUCAAAUCACGAAACUUGCCAAUACAAAAUCCCUAACAAUCUCCCCCUUUGGCAAUUUCAUGACAAAACCCAAAAACACAUGAAAAAUGAAAAAUGAAGUUCAAUGUCAUCACCAAAAUAUCGAACUACUCGCAUAUAAGAUCCAAACAAAAUUACAUAUGCACUCCUAAGACAGAUUCUAUGGCUUAGACACAACUAA
This 403-nucleotide long non-coding RNA is filed under the name Ananas comosus (pineapple). RNAcentral describes it as "long non-coding RNA (ACOM_LNC022181)". The record is from RNAcentral. Lineage: Eukaryota; Viridiplantae; Streptophyta; Magnoliopsida; Poales; Bromeliaceae.